RNAcentral lists this ribosomal RNA (666 nucleotides) under uncultured bacterium. RNAcentral's name for it is "bacterial SSU rRNA". It matches the Rfam family "Bacterial small subunit ribosomal RNA", at positions 56 to 719 of the family's 1533-position model. The record is from RNAcentral.
UGCAGUCGAGCGGUAGAGAGGUGCUUGCACCUCUUGAGAGCGGCGGACGGGUGAGUAAAGCCUAGGAAUCUGCCUGGUAGUGGGGAUAACGCUCGGAAACGGACGCUAAUACCGCAUACGUCCUACGGGAGAAAGCAGGGGACCUUCGGGCCUUGCGCUAUCAGAUGAGCCUAGGUCGGAUUAGCUAGUUGGUGAGGUAAUGGCUCACCAAGGCGACGAUCCGUAACUGGUCUGAGAGGAUGAUCAGUCACACUGGAACUGAGACACGGUCCAGACUCCUACGGGAGGCAGCAGUGGGGAAUAUUGGACAAUGGGCGAAAGCCUGAUCCAGCCAUGCCGCGUGUGUGAAGAAGGUCUUCGGAUUGUAAAGCACUUUAAGUUGGGAGGAAGGGCAUUAACCUAAUACGUUAGUGUUUUGACGUUACCGACAGAAUAAGCACCGGCUAACUCUGUGCCAGCAGCCGCGGUAAUACAGAGGGUGCAAGCGUUAAUCGGAAUUACUGGGCGUAAAGCGCGCGUAGGUGGUUCGUUAAGUUGGAUGUGAAAUCCCCGGGCUCAACCUGGGAACUGCAUUCAAAACUGUCGAGCUAGAGUAUGGUAGAGGGUGGUGGAAUUUCCUGUGUAGCGGUGAAAUGCGUAGAUAUAGGAAGGAACACCAGUGGCGAA